GAUGAAGAACGUAGCGAAAUGCGAUAAGUAAUGUGAAUUGCAGAAUUCAGUGAAUCAUCGAAUCUUUGAACGCACAUUGCGCCCCCUGGCAUUCCGGGGGGCAUGCCUGUCCGAGCGUCAUUACAACCCUCAAGCUCAGCUUGGUGUUGGGCCCCGCCGCCCCGGCGGGCCCUAAAGUCAGUGGCGGUGCCGUCCGGCUCCGAGCGUAGUAAUUCUUCUCGCUCUGGAGGUCCGGUCGCGUGCUCGCCAGCAACCCCCAAUUUUUUUCAGGUUGACCUCGGAUCAGGUAGGGAUACCCGCUGAACUUAAGCAUAUCAAUAAGCGGAGGA
Molecule: unclassified non-coding RNA, 329 nt
Filed under: soil metagenome
Description: partial contains 5.8S ribosomal RNA, internal transcribed spacer 2, and large subunit ribosomal RNA
Rfam family: 5.8S ribosomal RNA (bases 1-120)
Source: RNAcentral